This is a long non-coding RNA of Trematomus bernacchii (emerald rockcod), 340 nucleotides long. RefSeq lists it as uncharacterized. Lineage: Eukaryota; Metazoa; Chordata; Actinopteri; Perciformes; Nototheniidae. The transcript is spliced from 4 exons. The record is from RefSeq and is a predicted model, not a curated record.
GUGAUGUACUCCUCUGUGGUCGCUGUAGAACGUCAAACUAAACAAAGGCUUGGUCUCGCUGAAGAGGAAGUAACAUACAGCGAUGUUAAACACAUGAGAAGAGCUUCAGAAAAGUGGUCAGAAGCUAAUAGAGAUGUGGACGUGAUGUACUCCUCUGUGGUUGCUGAACGUCAAACUAAACAAAGGAUUCAAGCGGAAGAAGAUGAUGUAACAUAAAGCAGGUUGGCUUAGCACCAGAGAAACCUGUGAAUGUUAUCCCUACCCUACAUCUGUACCCAACGCUGGAGGCGUAGCCCAAUAUCACAAACUUCACAGUUUGUACAGAAUAUCAGUAUGACAA